RNAcentral lists this transfer RNA (74 nucleotides) under Caldalkalibacillus mannanilyticus. Its description in RNAcentral is "tRNA-Cys". It matches the Rfam family "tRNA". From Rfam's summary of the family: Transfer RNA (tRNA) molecules are approximately 80 nucleotides in length. Their secondary structure includes four short double-helical elements and three loops (D, anti-codon, and T loops). The record is from RNAcentral. RNAcentral also lists the same sequence under 8 other names. Lineage: Bacteria; Bacillati; Bacillota; Bacilli; Caryophanales; Bacillaceae.
GGCGCCAUAGCCAAGUGGUAAGGCAGAGGUCUGCAAAACCUUUAUCCCCAGUUCAAAUCUGGGUGGCGCCUCCA